This 85-nucleotide transfer RNA is filed under the name Helicobacteraceae bacterium. RNAcentral's name for it is "tRNA-Leu". It matches the Rfam family "tRNA". From Rfam's summary of the family: Transfer RNA (tRNA) molecules are approximately 80 nucleotides in length. Their secondary structure includes four short double-helical elements and three loops (D, anti-codon, and T loops). The record is from RNAcentral. Lineage: Bacteria; Pseudomonadati; Campylobacterota; Epsilonproteobacteria; Campylobacterales; Helicobacteraceae.
GCGGUCGUGGUGAAAUUGGCAGACACACUGUCUUCAGGCGGCAGCGGGGCAACCCUUGGAGGUUCGAGUCCUCUCGACCGCACCA